RNAcentral lists this transfer RNA (84 nucleotides) under Puniceicoccales bacterium. Its description in RNAcentral is "tRNA-Leu". It matches the Rfam family "tRNA". Rfam says of the family: Transfer RNA (tRNA) molecules are approximately 80 nucleotides in length. Their secondary structure includes four short double-helical elements and three loops (D, anti-codon, and T loops). Lineage: Bacteria; Pseudomonadati; Verrucomicrobiota; Opitutia; Puniceicoccales. The record is from RNAcentral.
GCUCAGGUGGUGGAAUUGGUAGACACGCACGCUUGAGGGGCGUGUACCUAUGGUGUAUGGGUUCGAGUCCCGUUCUGAGCACCA